Molecule: ribosomal RNA, 440 nt
Filed under: uncultured bacterium
Lineage: Bacteria
Description: partial 16S ribosomal RNA
Rfam family: Bacterial small subunit ribosomal RNA
Source: RNAcentral
CCUACGGGUGGCAGCAGUGGGGGAUAUUGCACAAUGGGGGAAACCCUGAUGCAGCGACGCCGCGUGUGGGAAGACGGUCCUCUGGAUUGUAAACCACUGUCCCCAGGGGCAAAGAUGACGGUACCUGGGGAGGAAGCCCCGGCUAACUACGUCCCAGCAGCCGCGUUACUCGGUAGGGAGCACGUGUGUUCGGGAAUUACUGGGUGUAAAGGUACCGUAGGCGGGAUGGAAAGUUGGGUGUUAAAGCUACCGGCUAAACUGGUAGUCGCACUCAAUACUGGUAUUCUGGAGUGAGGUAGAGGCAGGCGGAAUUCCUGGUGUAGCGGUGAAAUGCGUAGAUAUCAGGAGGAACAUCAGUGGCGAAGGCGGCCUGCUGGGCCGUUACUGACGCUGAGGCUCGAAAGUGUGGGGAGCAAACAGGAUUAGAUACCCGAGUAGUC